This 247-nucleotide long non-coding RNA is filed under the name Mytilus galloprovincialis (Mediterranean mussel). The record is from RNAcentral. Lineage: Eukaryota; Metazoa; Mollusca; Bivalvia; Mytilida; Mytilidae.
AACAUAGUACUAAACUUCCAAAUAGGUAGUUUAGUCAUAAGGGCUGUUUUUCUCCAAUGAUGGAUCAUUGAAAACGGUUAGAAACUGGCAUUUCUCAAUUUUCUCAAUUUUCCUUAUUUUAGCAUUUUUUUACCUUAUUUUUUGAAAAAAAUCAAAAAGAUACCAAAAAUUUUAUUUUCAUUAUUUUUUACACCAACAUAGUACUAGACUUCCAUAUAGGUAGUUUUGUCAUAAGUAUUGUUUUUCU